Molecule: unclassified non-coding RNA, 202 nt
Filed under: Hevea brasiliensis (rubber tree)
Lineage: Eukaryota; Viridiplantae; Streptophyta; Magnoliopsida; Malpighiales; Euphorbiaceae
Source: RNAcentral
AACUUGGCACACGAGGUAAGCAAUUGAUGAGUAAAUAGUGUUGGUUAAAGUGUUACGGACCAUUAUUCCGAUUAUGAAGCUACGCAGAAAUGUGAGAAAAACACGAGAAAGCAAUAUGUAUGACUAUUGAGGGCAGAUAGUGAACACAAUUUUGAGGACGAAAUUAUUUUAAGGGGGAAAGAAUUGUAACACCCCUAUUUGU